AUUGAACGCUGGCGGCAUGCCUUACACAUGCAAGUCGAACGGCAGCACGGGAGCAAUCCUGGUGGCGAGUGGCGAACGGGUGAGUAAAGUAUCGGAACGUGCCCAGUCGUGGGGGAUAACGUAGCGAAAGUUACGCUAAUACCGCAUACGAUCUAUGGAUGAAAGCGGGGGAUCGCAAGACCUCGCGCGAUUGGAGCGGCCGAUAUCAGAUUAGGUAGUUGGUGGGGUAAAGGCUCACCAAGCCGACGAUCUGUAGCUGGUCUGAGAGGACGACCAGCCACACUGGGACUGGGACACGGCCCAGACUCCCACGGGAGGCAGCAGUGGGGAAUUUUGGACAAUGGGCGAAAGCCUGAUCCAGCCAUGCCGCGUGCAGGAUGAAGGCCUUCGGGUUGUAAACUGCUUUUGUACGGAACGAAAAGGUUUGGCCUAAUAAGCUGAGCUCAUGACGGUACCGUAAGAAUAAGCACCGGCUAACUACGUGCCAGCAGCCGCUGUAA
Molecule: ribosomal RNA, 500 nt
Filed under: uncultured bacterium
Lineage: Bacteria
Description: partial 16S ribosomal RNA
Rfam family: Bacterial small subunit ribosomal RNA
Source: RNAcentral